RNAcentral lists this ribosomal RNA (1000 nucleotides) under fungal endophyte. Its description in RNAcentral is "eukaryotic LSU rRNA". The stretch from base 473 to 1000 matches the Rfam family "Eukaryotic large subunit ribosomal RNA", at positions 1 to 539 of the family's 3401-position model. The record is from RNAcentral. Lineage: Eukaryota; Fungi.
UACAGAGUACUAUACUCCUACAACCCAUGUGAACUUACCUGUUUCCGUUGCUUCGGCGGGCUGCGCAACCCUCGUGGUGCGCGUCUCCAGGCCCGCCGGGGGUACCAAACUCUUGCGUUACAGUUAGCUUCUGAGCGAAACAAGUAAAUAAUCAAAACUUUCAACAACGGAUCUCUUGGUUCUGGCAUCGAUGAAGAACGCAGCGAAAUGCGAUAAGUAAUGUGAAUUGCAGAAUUCAGUGAAUCAUCGAAUCUUUGAACGCACAUUGCGCCUAUUAGUAUUCUAGUAGGCAUGCCUGUUCGAGCGUCAUUUCAACCCUCAAGCACUCUUGCUUGGCGUUGGGGCAGUACCGCACCGGUACGCCCCGAAAACCAGUGGCAGGGUCAGGGCAUCUCUGAGCGUAGUAAAUUUUCUCUCGCUUUGGUUAGGUGUCCUGGCCGUCGCCGUAAAACCCCCCUCACUUCUGAAUAGUUGACCUCGGAUCAGGUAGGAAUACCCGCUGAACUUAAGCAUAUCAAUAAGCGGAGGAAAAGAAACCAACAGGGAUUGCCCUAGUAACGGCGAGUGAAGCGGCAACAGCUCAAAUUUGAAAUCUGGCACUUGUGUCCGAGUUGUAAUUUGUAGAGGAUGCUUUUGGUGCGGUACCUUCCGAGUUCCCUGGAACGGGACGCCAUAGAGGGUGAGAGCCCCGUACGGUUGGAUGCCAAACCUCUGUAAAGCUCCUUCGACGAGUCGAGUAGUUUGGGAAUGCUGCUCUAAAUGGGAGGUAAAUUUCUUCUAAAGCUAAAUACCGGCCAGAGACCGAUAGCGCACAAGUAGAGUGAUCGAAAGAUGAAAAGCACUUUGAAAAGAGGGUUAAAUAGCACGUGAAAUUGUUGAAAGGGAAGGGCUUGUGACCAGACUUGUGCCUGGCGGAUCAUCCGGUGUUCUCACCGGUGCACUUCGCCAGGUUCAGGCCAGCAUCGGUUUCUGCAGAGGGAUAAAGACUCAGGGAAUGUAG